AGGAAAGGGACUUGGCAACAACCUAAUAACGCAGCCGACAGAGAUGUUCACACGUCAAGACUGGUGACGACCUUACAGCUUUUGAUAUUCCAGCAGACAGGGUCGGAUGGAGUGUGUCGAUCGUCGCAAAUUUCUGGCGAUUUUUUUUUCUAUUUUUACUGGGAAAAAAAAUUGAAAGUGUUAAUGGUGAGGAUAGCAAAAUUUCUCACUUCCUCGUAAAUUACUUCCGGGUGCAGAUGGACUGACUGCUGCGUUUCACUCCCACGCCAUCCUGGUCCUACUCAUGAAUAAUACAGAAGUGAGUGUAUUAAAGUGCAGCAUUUUAGAUUUUUGUGAACACUCGGAAAUGUGAAUUGAACUACGAAGACGUGAAUGAGGAGAGGAGGUUUGCAUGUUGGUCGGGAUCUACUACUCAAGCAGUUAAGCCACGUCCUGUGGUAAUAGGAGUUGGUUCGGUUCGAGCUUCAAAAGUGGUCGUUUUUUGCAAGAUUUUUCUGCACGAUGAAUCUUAGUUAUUACUUUUUCAUCGUGUGUGGAUUUCUACUGUCAUUUUCUGAAGCGACCCGCAUAGAGGGUUUAGACGCGACGUGUGAUCCAGACUCAAUGGACCCGAAAAGCUGCAGCGUUUGUGGCACCUCGUGGUGGGGCAAGGUCCCGCUGCUCAACAAGCCCUGGACUCGAGGGACGUGCGUCAGAGGGGACUGUGUUUGCAGAUUCAACGAAGAAGACCUGGGAAAACACUUACCCAAAACCUGCAUUCAAAAAUCCGCUUGGUCAACGACUGACAGCAAAAAAAAGAUGGUCGAACAAGCGAUUGAGCAAUCAGUUGUUCACGUGGAUUUAAGAGCACAAUUCGAUCUGUGGAAGGCAAAACACAAUAAACAAUACGCUUCAAAAGAGGAAGAUGAAAGACGAUUCAAAAUAUAUAAGGAAAACUUGAGGAAAAUUGGUAACCUGAAAGCUGACCCCAAUACAAGAACCGCCGUUUUCGGAGCAAACGUGUUUGCGGAUCUUACAAGUGAGUAGCUUUGAACUACCUUCUCGAAUUAGGAACACAAUUUCUGGUCAAUUUUAAAAAAAACCAUGUACCAUUAGUUUCCGUUUGCAAAUAGGUGUUUCUAAUAUGAGCUAGAAAUUGGAGCUCCU
This 1146-nucleotide long non-coding RNA is filed under the name Bemisia tabaci. RNAcentral describes it as "lncRNA ENSSSA2NGG004887". Lineage: Eukaryota; Metazoa; Arthropoda; Insecta; Hemiptera; Aleyrodidae. The record is from RNAcentral.